RNAcentral lists this ribosomal RNA (164 nucleotides) under Leucaena leucocephala subsp. glabrata. RNAcentral's name for it is "5.8S ribosomal RNA". The stretch from base 1 to 107 matches the Rfam family "5.8S ribosomal RNA", at positions 50 to 154 of the family's 154-position model. Rfam says of the family: 5.8S ribosomal RNA (5.8S rRNA) is a component of the large subunit of the eukaryotic ribosome. The record is from RNAcentral. Lineage: Eukaryota; Viridiplantae; Streptophyta; Magnoliopsida; Fabales; Fabaceae.
AAAAUGCGAUACUUGGUAUGAAUUGCAGAAUCCCGUGAACUAUCGAGUCUUUGAACGCAAGUUACGCCCGAAGCCAUUAGGCUUAGGGCACGUCUACCUGGGUGUCACGUAACGUCGUCACCGCCCAUCCCAUGGGCGCAGUGGAUGAUGGCUUCCCGGGAGCC